GACGAACGCUGGCGGCGUGCUUAACACAUGCAAGUCGAACGGUGAAGGGACUGGUUUUGCUGGUCCUGGAUGAGUGGCGAACGGGUGAGUAACACGUGAGUAACCUGCCCCCUUCUUCUGGAUAACCGCAUGAAAGUGUGGCUAAUACGGGAUAUUCUGGGUCUGUCGCAUGGUGGGCCUGGGAAAGAUUGCGCCUUUUUUGGUGUUUUUGGUGGGGGAGGGGCUCGCGGCCUAUCAGCUUGUUGGUGGGGUGAUGGCCUACCAAGGCGGUGACGGGUAGCCGGCCUGAGAGGGUGGACGGUCACACUGGGACUGAGACACGGCCCAGACUCCUACGGGAGGCAGCAGUGGGGAAUAUUGCACAAUGGGCGCAAGCCUGAUGCAGCGACGCCGCGUGAGGGAUGGAGGCCUUCGGGUUGUGAACCUCUUUCGCCAGUGAAGCAGGCCUGCCUCUUUUUGUGGGUGGGUUGACGGUAGCUGGAUAAGAAGCGCCGGCUAACUACGUG
Molecule: ribosomal RNA, 506 nt
Filed under: uncultured bacterium
Lineage: Bacteria
Description: partial 16S ribosomal RNA
Rfam family: Bacterial small subunit ribosomal RNA
Source: RNAcentral